GGAGGGGUGCAAGCGUUAAUCGGAAUUACUGGGCGUAAAGGGUGCGUAGGUUGUUGAUUAAGUUAUCUGUGAAAGCCCCGGGCUUAACCUGGGUUGGUCAGAUAAAACUGGUUAACUAGAGUAUGGCAGAGGGUAGUGGAAUUUCCGGUGUAGCGGUGAAAUGCGUAGAUAUCGGAAGGAACACCAGUGGCGAAGGCGACUACCUGGGCUGAUACUGACACUGAGGCACGAAAGCGUGGGUAGCGAACAGGAUUAGAUACCCUGGUAGUCCACGCUGUAAACGAUGUCAACUAGCCGUUGGGCACAUGAAUGUGUUUAGUGGCGCAGCUAACGCGAUAAGUUGACCGCCUGGGGAGUACGGUCGCAAAGAUUA
Molecule: ribosomal RNA, 373 nt
Filed under: uncultured organism
Description: partial 16S ribosomal RNA
Rfam family: Bacterial small subunit ribosomal RNA
Source: RNAcentral